GACGUAGGGGGCGAGCGUUGUCCGGAAUUACUGGGCGUAAAGAGCACGUAGGUGGUUCGUUAAGUUGGAUGUGAAAGCCCCAGGCUCAACCUGGGAACUGCAUCCAAAACUGGCGAGCUAGAGUACGGUAGAGGGUGGUGGAAUUUCCUGUGUAGCGGUGAAAUGCGUAGAAAUCAGGAGUAAUACCAGUGGCGAAGGCGACUGACUGGACUGACCCUGACGCUGAGGUGCGAAAGCGUGGGUAGCAAACAGG
Molecule: ribosomal RNA, 253 nt
Filed under: uncultured bacterium
Lineage: Bacteria
Description: partial 16S ribosomal RNA
Rfam family: Bacterial small subunit ribosomal RNA
Source: RNAcentral